Molecule: unclassified non-coding RNA, 311 nt
Filed under: uncultured fungus
Lineage: Eukaryota; Fungi
Description: sequence contains ITS2
Source: RNAcentral
AACGCACCUUGCACCCUUUGGCAUUCCAAAGGGUAUGCCUGUUUGAGUAUCAUGAAAUUCUCAACUCUCCUCAGAUUUCAUCUGUAGGGUGAGCUUGGACUUGGAGGUUUUCUGCUGGCGUUUGCUGGCUCCUCUUGAAAUCAUUAGCCUCGAGUUGAUCUUGAUGGCUUGACCGGUGUGAUAAACAUCUACGCCGAUUCAUGCUGUCCUGAGCGACAACGUCGGAGACGCUCUGGCUUAUAACCGUCCGUCAAAGGACAACGCUCUGAACUUUUGAUCUCAAAUCAGGUAAGACUACCCGCUGAACUUAA